Megalops cyprinoides (Indo-Pacific tarpon) is the source of this 187-nucleotide long non-coding RNA. RefSeq lists it as uncharacterized. The record is from RefSeq and is a predicted model, not a curated record. NCBI's taxonomy places the organism in Eukaryota, Metazoa, Chordata, Actinopteri, Elopiformes, Megalopidae. The transcript is spliced from 3 exons.
ACUACAGUCUUCGCGCAGUCAGGGCUUUGCUUGGCCCUGGUGUCACUGACAUCCCUUGGGGUGGUGUUGGCCAUGUGUGUUUGUUGCCGAAGAAAAUCUAAAAUAAUACACAGAGAAAAUCAAAUUUAUGACCCUCAACUGUUCCAAAGUCAAAGUGAGAGAUUUACAGUAGCAAGGUCUCUAAUGG